AACGCACAUUGCGCCCUUUGGCAUUCCGAAGGGCAUGCCUGUUCGAGCGUCAUUAUCAACCAUCAAGCCUGGGCUUGCAGUUGAGCCCUCCUUUGACCGGGAGGGCUCGAAAGUCAGUGGCGGGGUGACAGUCGGACCCUAGAUGCAACGAGCUGUUUUAUAACCAGCACGCAUUGAAGUGGCCGGCCACCUUGGCCCUCUCCUUUAACUAUAUCAAGGUUGACCUCGGAUCAGGUAGGGAUACCCGCUGAACUUAA
Molecule: unclassified non-coding RNA, 257 nt
Filed under: uncultured fungus
Lineage: Eukaryota; Fungi
Description: sequence contains ITS2
Source: RNAcentral